AACGAACGCUGGCGGCAUGCCUAACACAUGCAAGUCGAACGAGACCUUCGGGUCUAGUGGCGCACGGGUGCGUAACGCGUGGGAACCUGCCCUUAGGUUCGGAAUAACUCCCCGAAAGGGGUGUUAAUACCGGAUAAUGUCUUCGGACCAAAGAUUUAUCGCCUUUGGAUGGGCCCGGGUUGGUUUAGCUAGUUGGUAGGGUAAAAGCCUACCAAGGCGACGAUCCAUAGCUGGUCUGAGAGGAUGAUUAGCCACACUGGGACUGAGACACGGCCCAGACUCCUACGGGAGGCAGCAGUGGGGAAUAUUGGACAAUGGGCGAAAGCCUGAUCCAGCAAUGCCGCGUGAGUGAUGAAGGCCUUAGGGUUGUAAAGCUCUUUUACCCGGGAUGAUAAUGACAGUACCGGGAGAAUAAGCUCCGGCUAACUCCGUG
This 433-nucleotide ribosomal RNA is filed under the name uncultured bacterium. Its description in RNAcentral is "partial 16S ribosomal RNA". It matches the Rfam family "Bacterial small subunit ribosomal RNA", at positions 29 to 507 of the family's 1533-position model. The record is from RNAcentral.